AGUGAACGCUGGCGGUAGGCCUAACACAUGCAAGUCGAACGGCAGCACAGUAAGAGCUUGCUCUUACGGGUGGCGAGUGGCGGACGGGUGAGGAAUACAUCGGAAUCUACUUUUUCGUGGGGGAUAACGUAGGGAAACUUACGCUAAUACCGCAUAUGACCUACGGGUGAAAGCAGGGGAUCUUCGGACCUUGCGCGAUUGAAUGAGCCGAUGUCGGAUUAGCUAGUUGGCGGGGUAAAGGCCCACCAAGGCGACGAUCCGUAGCUGGUCUGAGAGGAUGAUCAGCCACACUGGAACUGAGACACGGUCCAGACUCCUACGGGAGGCAGCAGUGGGGAAUAUUGGACAAUGGGCGCAAGCCUGAUGCAGCCAUACCGCGUGGGUGAAGAAGGCCUUCGGGUUGUAAAGCCCUGUUAUUAGGAAAGAAAAGCAGCAUGUUAAAACCUCGCUGUUCUGACGGUACCCAAAGAAUAAGCAACGGCUAACUUCGUG
RNAcentral lists this ribosomal RNA (492 nucleotides) under uncultured bacterium. RNAcentral's name for it is "partial 16S ribosomal RNA". It matches the Rfam family "Bacterial small subunit ribosomal RNA", at positions 29 to 507 of the family's 1533-position model. The record is from RNAcentral.